UAAACGGCUCUUUUAAGAGCCACCCACGUUUUCACCAGAAAAGCCG
This is a non-coding RNA of Dipodomys ordii (Ord's kangaroo rat), 46 nucleotides long. NCBI's taxonomy places the organism in Eukaryota, Metazoa, Chordata, Mammalia, Rodentia, Heteromyidae. The record is from Rfam.